UACGGAGGAGGCAAGCGUUAUCCGGAAUUAUUGGGCGUAAAGCGUCCGUAGGUGGCUAGUCAAGUCUGCGGUCAAAGACUGGGGCUUAACCCUGGAAAGGCCGUGGAAACUGACGAGCUAGAGUGCAGUGGGGGUAGAGGGAAUUCCCGGUGUAGCGGUGAAAUGCGUAGAGCUCGGGAAGAACAUCGGUGGCGAAAGCGCUCUACUGGACUGCAACUGACACUCAGGGACGAAAGCUAGGGGAGCGAAUGGG
Molecule: ribosomal RNA, 253 nt
Filed under: uncultured bacterium
Lineage: Bacteria
Description: partial 16S ribosomal RNA
Rfam family: Bacterial small subunit ribosomal RNA
Source: RNAcentral